AAUCAUUAUCCAACCCGCGACGUAAUCCCUUGAGGUAAUUUGUCAAAAUCUAACUCUAACCCUAACCCUAACCCUAACCCUAACAUCAAAAAGAUACAAUGAGCUGUCAAGGAGCCAAAAAGAGCUUGAGAAGAAACUCGAAGACAUCAAGAGGAGGGAGAUUGAGCUUUGUAAGAGAUUGGAUGAGAUCGAGAAGAGAGAGUUGGGACCUCCGGAGCAAGAAGUUGAAAUAUUGCGUUCACGCAGAUUACUCCGGCUAUAUUGGCCUUUUGUAGUUGUUGUGUCAUGUUAUGUAAUAGUAUGUAGGUGAUUUUGGAACUUGGUAUAUGUUGUAAAAUUUGUAGGCUUAUGUUAGACUAAUUAGAUGGUGCUUACCAGAGUUCACCAAUGAAUUUUGUGAAAUUUGUACUUUGCUUAAGUUUCUAAAGUGAUUUGGGAUUGAGUUUUGUAUAAAUGAAUGAUUAGUCUAACUUUUUGAUGUUCUUUAAUCUAACUAGUCUGUAAUAGGAUUGCUUCAAAAUUUGUAAUUAGAUGUUUGUUGUUUGUCAC
This is a long non-coding RNA of Juglans regia (Persian walnut), 549 nucleotides long. RefSeq lists it as uncharacterized. The record is from RefSeq and is a predicted model, not a curated record. The transcript is spliced from 2 exons. NCBI's taxonomy places the organism in Eukaryota, Viridiplantae, Streptophyta, Magnoliopsida, Fagales, Juglandaceae.